UGAAUACGAGACGCUAAGGCGUUGAAGUAGUGUAUGUCAUACUUCCAAGAAAAGCUUGCACUGUCAUAGAUAAAAAACGCCUGUACCAUAACCGACACAGGUGGGUAGGUAGAGUAUACUAAGGGGCGCGAGAUAACUCUCUCUAAGGAACUCGGCAAAAUAACUCCGUAACUUCGGGAGAAGGAGUGCCUUAUUUAUAAGGCUGCAAUAACAAGAUCCAAGCAACUGUUUAUCAAAAACACAGGUCUCCGCUAAGUCGUAAGACGAUGUAUGGGGGCUGACGCCUGCCCAGUGCCAGAAGGUUAAAGAAGUUGGUUAGCAAUAGCGAAGCUGAUAACUGAAGCCCUGGUGAACGGCGGCAGUAACUAUAACGGUCCUAAGGUAGCGAAAUUCCUUGUCGGGUAAGUUCCGACCCGCACGAAAGGCGUAAUGAUUUGGAUACUGUCUCGGAGAGGGGCUCGGUGAAAUAGACUUGUCUGUGAAGAUGCGGACUACCUGCACCAGGACAGAAAGACCCUAUGAAGCUUUACUGUAACUUGAAAUUGAAAUUGGACUUUAUUCGCGCAGUAUAGGUGGGAGGCGUUGAUUGUAAUCUUGCGGGAUUAUUGGAGCCAUCAGUGAGAUACCACCCUUGUAAUGUUAGAUUUCUAACUUUGAAUCAUUAUCUGGUCAAAGAACAGUUUCAGGCGGGCAGUUUGACUGGGGCGGUCGCCUCCUAAACGGUAACGGAGGCGUACAAAGGUUUCCUCUGAACGGUUAGAAAUCGUAUCUAGAGUGUAAAGGCAUAAGGAAGCUUGACUGUGAGACCUACAAGUCGAGCAGGGACGAAAGUCGGUCUUAGUGAUCUGACGGUACUGAGUGGAAAGGCCGUCACUCAACGGAUAAAAGUUACUCUAAGGAUAACAGGCUGAUCUCCCCCAAGAGUUCACAUCGACGGGGAGGUUUGGCACCUCGAUGUCGGCUCAUCGCAUCCUGGGGCGGUAGUACGUCCCAAGGGUUGGGCUGUUCGCCCAUGAAAGCGGUACGCGAGCUGGGUUCAGAACGUCGUGAGACAGUUCGGUCCAUAUCCGGUGUAGGCGUUAGAAUAUUGAGAGGAGCCUUCUUUAGUACGAGAGGACCGAGAAGGACAUACCUCUGGUGUACCAGUUAUCGUGCCAACGGUAAACGCUGGGUAGCUAUGUAUGGAGUGGAUAACCGCUGAAAGCAUCUAAGUGGGAAGCCC
Molecule: ribosomal RNA, 1222 nt
Filed under: metagenome
Description: bacterial LSU rRNA
Rfam family: Bacterial large subunit ribosomal RNA
Source: RNAcentral